UGGGGAAUUUUGGACAAUGGGCGCAAGCCUGAUCCAGCCAUGCCGCGUGCGGGAAGAAGGCCUUCGGGUUGUAAACCGCUUUUGUCAGGGAAGAAAUCUUCUGAGUUAAUACCUCGGGAGGAUGACGGUACCUGAAGAAUAAGCACCGGCUAACUACGUGCCAGCAGCCGCGGUAAUACGUAGGGUGCAAGCGUUAAUCGGAAUUACUGGGCGUAAAGCGUGCGCAGGCGGUUUUGUAAGACAGAGGUGAAAUCCCCGGGCUCAACCUGGGAACUGCCUUUGUGACUGCAAGGCUUGAGUGCGGCAGAGGGGGGAUGGAAUUCCGCGUGUAGCAGUGAAAUGUGUAGAUAUGCGGAGGAACACCGAUGGCGAAGGCAAUCCCCUGGGCCUGCACUGACGCUCAUGCACGAAAGCGUGGGGAGCAAACAGAUUAGAUACCCUGGUAGUCCACGCCCUAAACGAUGUCAACUGGUUGUUGGGAAGGUUCCUUCUCAGUAACGUAGCUAACGCGUGAAGUUGACCGCCUGGGGAGUAC
RNAcentral lists this ribosomal RNA (535 nucleotides) under uncultured bacterium. RNAcentral's name for it is "partial 16S ribosomal RNA". It matches the Rfam family "Bacterial small subunit ribosomal RNA", at positions 355 to 883 of the family's 1533-position model. The record is from RNAcentral.